GGCCCUUAGCUCAGUUGGUUAGAGCAAGUGACUCAUAAUCGCCGAGCCGCUGGUCCAAGUCCAGCAAGGGCCA
This 73-nucleotide transfer RNA is filed under the name Enterobacter cancerogenus. RNAcentral's name for it is "tRNA-Met". It matches the Rfam family "tRNA". Rfam says of the family: Transfer RNA (tRNA) molecules are approximately 80 nucleotides in length. Their secondary structure includes four short double-helical elements and three loops (D, anti-codon, and T loops). Further hydrogen bonds mediate the characteristic L-shaped molecular structure. tRNAs have two regions of fundamental functional importance: the anti-codon, which is responsible for specific mRNA codon recognition, and the 3' end, to which the tRNAs corresponding amino acid is attached (by aminoacyl-tRNA synthetases). tRNAs cope with the degeneracy of the genetic code in two manners: having more than one tRNA (with a specific anti-codon) for a particular amino acid; and 'wobble' base-pairing, i.e. permitting non-standard base-pairing at the 3rd anti-codon position. The record is from RNAcentral. Lineage: Bacteria; Pseudomonadati; Pseudomonadota; Gammaproteobacteria; Enterobacterales; Enterobacteriaceae.